GUGCAGCAGCCGCGGUAAUACCGGCAGCCCGAGUGAUGGCCGAUCUUAUUGGGCCUAAAGCGUCCGUAGCUGGCUGAGCAAGUCCGUCGGGAAAUCCACGUGCUUAACACGUGGGCGACCGGCGGAAACUGUUCGGCUUGGGGCCGGAGGACCCGAGGGGUACGUCCGGGGUAGGAGUGAAAUCCUGUAAUCCUGGACGGACCGCCGAUGGCGAAAGCACUUCGAGAAAACGGAUCCGACAGUGAGGGACGAAAGCCAGGGUCUCCAACCGGAUUAGAUACCCGAUAGUCC
RNAcentral lists this ribosomal RNA (291 nucleotides) under uncultured bacterium. RNAcentral's name for it is "partial 16S ribosomal RNA". It matches the Rfam family "Archaeal small subunit ribosomal RNA", at positions 455 to 747 of the family's 1478-position model. The record is from RNAcentral.